Aethalodelphis obliquidens (Pacific white-sided dolphin) is the source of this 385-nucleotide long non-coding RNA. RefSeq lists it as uncharacterized. NCBI's taxonomy places the organism in Eukaryota, Metazoa, Chordata, Mammalia, Artiodactyla, Delphinidae. The record is from RefSeq and is a predicted model, not a curated record. The transcript is spliced from 2 exons.
AGCUUGGUAGGGCGUGGCUGCGCAGAAAGUUUGGCGUGUUCGCUUUGUCUUAACGCGCUACUGUGCGUUUGCACCUUGCUUGGAUAUCUACAAGUUAAUUGUUUGGUUCUUAACCGCCAGGAAAGCCUUGGCAGAAGUGACAGCCGUUGAGGGCUCUGCCUUUUUCUUUUUUCUGGGCUCAGAUCCUGGGCCAUGGUGUUGGAAAUGGGAGUUGCCUUCUUCCCCUUGGAAGCCCCGAACUACUACCCCCAACAUCCUCUUUUUUCUUUAGCUGAAGAUGGUAUUCACGGUGAGGGUUUGGGCCAUUUUGGAGAGUUAGUCAGUUUUCCUGGGUCUCUCCCAUGUAUACAUGUUAUUAAACUUUCGUUUGAUUUUCUCUUGUUAA